RNAcentral lists this ribosomal RNA (419 nucleotides) under Bacteroides thetaiotaomicron. Its description in RNAcentral is "bacterial SSU rRNA". It matches the Rfam family "Bacterial small subunit ribosomal RNA", at positions 8 to 417 of the family's 1533-position model. Lineage: Bacteria; Pseudomonadati; Bacteroidota; Bacteroidia; Bacteroidales; Bacteroidaceae. The record is from RNAcentral.
AGAGUUUGAUCCUGGCUCAGGAUGAACGCUAGCUACAGGCUUAACACAUGCAAGUCGAGGGGCAGCAUUUCAGUUUGCUUGCAAACUGGAGAUGGCGACCGGCGCACGGGUGAGUAACACGUAUCCAACCUGCCGAUAACUCGGGGAUAGCCUUUCGAAAGAAAGAUUAAUACCCGAUGGUAUAAUCAGACCGCAUGGUCUUGUUAUUAAAGAAUUUCGGUUAUCGAUGGGGAUGCGUUCCAUUAGGCAGUUGGUGAGGUAACGGCUCACCAAACCUUCGAUGGAUAGGGGUUCUGAGAGGAAGGUCCCCCACAUUGGAACUGAGACACGGUCCAAACUCCUACGGGAGGCAGCAGUGAGGAAUAUUGGUCAAUGGGCGCAGGCCUGAACCAGCCAAGUAGCGUGAAGGAUGACUGCCC